CUCUUGGGUUGUAAACCCCUUUUCUCUGGGAAGAAAGUUGUGAAAGCAACCUGACGGUACCAGAGGAAUCAGCAUCGGCUAACUCCGUGCCAGCAGCCGCGGUAAGACGGAGGGUGCAAGCGUUAUCCGGAAUGACUGGGCGUAAAGCGUCCGCAGGUGGCAGUUCAAGUCUGCUGUCAAAGACCGGGGCUUAACUUCGGAAAGGCAGUGGAAACUGAACGGCUAGAGUAUGGUAGGGGCAGAGGGAAUUCCUGGUGUAGCGGUGAAAUGCGUAGAGAUCAGGAAGAACAUCGGUG
RNAcentral lists this ribosomal RNA (296 nucleotides) under uncultured Microcoleus sp. RNAcentral describes it as "partial 16S ribosomal RNA". It matches the Rfam family "Bacterial small subunit ribosomal RNA", at positions 415 to 714 of the family's 1533-position model. The record is from RNAcentral. Lineage: Bacteria; Bacillati; Cyanobacteriota; Cyanophyceae; Oscillatoriales; Microcoleaceae.